CACUCUAUUUGCCUGGGGUCCCGAGGAUUACCAGUGGAGAAUAUAUAACUUUCAGGCAAAGACAGUCUUACAUCAUAUUUACGUUUGUAUUAUUAAUAAAACCUCACGCUUAAACCCACUUAGUAAAUUUAACUACUGACUGUGAAUUAACUGAAAUAAAGAAAGUUCCACAUUGACAUUAAUUCUCAGGUUCUAAAUAAUUUUGUUUCAAAACAGCUACACUGAAACAUUUCUGUUAUUUUUAGAUGUUAUCUAGGCUGAAAGGAGAGUUGUUCAGCCUGGAGAAGGCUCCAAGGAGAGCUUACAGCAUCCUUCCAGUAUCUGAAUGGGCCUAAAGGAAAGCUGGAGAGGGACUUUUUACAAGGGUGUGGAGUGACAGGAAAAGGGAGAAUGUCUUUUAACUGAAAGAGGGUAGGUUUAGGUUCGAUAGCAGGAAGAAAUUCUUUACUGUGGGAGUGAUGAGACAAUGGAACAGGUUACCCAGAGAAGCUGUAGAUGCCCCAUCCCUACAAGUGCUGAAGGCCAGGCUGGAUGGUGCUUUGAACAACCUGCUCUAGGGGACAGUAGCCCUGACCACUGCAGGGGCACGCAAAAUGAGGGGAGAGGGCACAACUAGGAGAUCUUUAAGGUCUUUUCCAACCCAAGUUAUGAUCUUUAUAAUAUGCACUAAAAGAGAUAAAAAUUUCUGCAUAUGUUUCAAAGCUUUUUAUAAGAAUCACAGAAUAUGCUGAGUUGGAAGGGCCCACAAGGACCAUCGAAGUCAAAUUCCUGGCCCUGCACAGGACAACCCCAAGAAUCACAUCAUGUGCCUGAGAGCAUUUUCCAAAUGCUUCUUGAACUCUGUCAGGAUGGUGCUGUGAACACUUCCUUGGGGAGCCUGUUCCAGCUCCCAAAUACCUUCUGGCAGAAAUAUAUUUUCUGUAUAUAUAAUCUAAACCUCCCCUGACUCAGUUUCAUGCUGUUUCUUCAAGUCCUGUCACUGGUCACAAGAGGAAAGAGAUCAGUGUCUGCCCCUCCUCUCCCCCUCAUGAGGAAGUUGUAUCUGCAGUGAGGUCUCCCCUCAGUCUCCUCUUCUCCAGGCUGAACAGACCAAGUGACCUCAGCCACUCCUCACACAGCUUCCCCUCAAGGCCCUUCACCUUCCUUGUGGCUCUCCUCUGGAUGCUUUCUCAUAUCUUUGUAUCUUUCUUAUAUUGUGGAACACAAAACUGGCCAGAAUAUUCACAAUGAGCCUGUCCCAGAGCAGAGUAGGGCUGGACAAUCCCCUCCCUUGCCCAGCUGGCGAUGCUGUGCCUGAUGCACCCCAGGACACAGGUGAUCCUCCUGGCUGCCAGGGCACUGCUGACUCACAUUCAACUGGCCCUGGACCAGGACCCCCAGGUCCCUUUCUGUGGGGCUGCUUUCCAGCAUCCCAUUCCUCAGUCUGUACCUACAUCCAGGGCUCCCUUGCAGGUAGACAGAAUACAGACUUGCCUCCCUUUUCCUAAUAUCCUAUACAGUCCUCCCACUGUAUCUAGCAUCACACUUGGCCCUCUACACUACAUUAAAGUACAUUCAUUGUCAGCUUUUAAUAUAGAUUGCCUUAAACUACAAAAGAGACCCUAAAAUUAAGGUUGUAUAUCCUACAGCAGGAAAAGAAAGAUUACAAUCUCUAUGCCAAUUGCCUCAGAUUCCCUUCUACCCUAAGGACUCAUAUUUCACUGGGGUUUUUUUGUACCUAUAGCCUGGUAUCACUAACCUUAAUCCAUAAAAUAUAGUGUCAGGCACGUCUCAGUUGACAUUAGGUACACAGAUGUGUGCAGCAUGCACAGAAGUCAAGCACACAUCCUUCAGACUUUGCAGCAUUAUUUGUCAGCUUCUCCCUGACCUCAGGGGAACUAGUCCAUUGACAUUCACUGAAAACUCUCCACUAUUUGUUUUGGUUUCCCUUUUGUUUUGUUUUGGUUGGCCAAGAGAAAUUCCUGUAAAUGUUAAAAAAUAAAACCCUUGCUAUGACAUGGACCUGGUCCAUUUUAGUCCAUUCCUCUCUCCUUCACCUUGUGCCAUGGGCAGGCUCAGGCCCUCACCACUGUCCUUACCAGCCUCUGCCACGAGCAGGGCUGGUCACCAGCAUGUGACCCCACCAGGCUGUCCACCAUACACGCAACAAAACCCCAAUUUUGCCAGGUUUAGAGAGCUGCAAAAAGACUUUUGUGACUCAAUCAGGGUUUAUUAUAGGCCAUUUGAAAAAUCUUUCCCUGGAAUACAGCCCACAACAAGAGACAGGCUAUAUUGCAUGGAAACUGGGAAGGGCAAUGUGCUGUAAGGAAAAAAUUACAUGAGAUCUGCUUCCCUUUUCUCCCCACCUUCUCAUUUCCCCACUCCUUUCCUAGGUCUUCUCUUUCUUUCCUGGCUCCCAGGAGAAUUCCCAGCCAACAAAGCAGCGAGCAACGGUGGAAUCAGCAGUGUGUUGUGGCUCAGAUCAAAGGCUGUGACUAAAAGGAAUGUAGAGCCAAACCCAGAAACAAGUGGCAAUGAAGACCUAAAACCACCAGAAAUUACCACAUACAGCUCCAACCAUCAUGUACUGCACAAGGGGAUGGCCAGAAAAGCAUGUGUGAUGGCACAGGUUGCAUGAGGAAGUUGGACUCAGUUACAGCAGUUCUGUAUGUAAGUGCAACCAGGUUUAAAAACAGCUCUUCAUAUCAUCAUGUGAGCAAGCAGCACAGGAAGGCAGUGGUCCACCUGUGUCUUACCACUUCCACCAUCUUUCCUUCUAGGUCUUUCAUAGGCUAUCAAACUCUCAUCUUCUGCUACCAUUAAAUUCCAAGAAAACUGUCUUUUCCUGUGUUGUACCUGAAACUCUAUAAAGGCACCAUGCUGCUCUUCUUCCCCCUUUCCCUAAACAUUAUAUUUGAGCGCCACAAAAAUUUAAAAGACAAAUAACAGAGAGACUAGAGAACCCACUUCAUCACACUAGAUGGUAUUACUUCACAUAUCUAGAUAUCCCACUUCUGCUUGUAACUCUUCAUCACUUCAUCCUACACAUCACAACAGAAACAUGGGACUUCUUUUUUUGCUGCAUUUCCUGAUCCCACAUGAGAGACUAAAACCAGAACUUCAAAAUCUUACUGUGAGGAAGGAAAUGGAGCACAGUAUUUGCACUAACUUUCCACAAUUGCAAAAGCCUGAGCUUACCAUUUCAGAAGCAUGUGCACUAGGCUUUUUCUCAGACUAAUACUGAUCCAUACGAGUCAGGGAUAUCAUUAUAGCACAGCAACAGGAAUUAAAACAGGCACAGGUAUGUAGCAAAUACAAUUCUUUAAAAAUUGGAAAACUGGUUAAAGCAUAUGUGGAAUAAAACUUUGUUCCUUUUCUGGGUCAAAAGCAUUUUCUUUGGUUCAAAAUAGUUAAUGUAGAUAUUAAAAAAAUUAGUGAGUUAUUAUUUACUACCAAAAUAUAGUUACAGUACUGAGGUUUUCCAUUCCCAGUUAGUCCAUACAAAAUGCUUUCUAAAGUGCCACAAAGAGGGAAAUGACAGCUUUUUUUUUUUUUUUUUUUUUUUUUUUUUUUUUUUUUUUGUGUGUGUGUGAGUAUAAUGAUGUAUUCCUUUGUGCAUUUCUUGAGCUUGGAGAAAUGAAACUAGUAAAAUCAGACAUUUAAUCUUUGUGUUACUUUUUUUUUCUGAGUUGCUCUUCUUAACCAAACAGUUACUUCUUGGGGAGUUGUUGAGGACAUUAUGGUGGGAUGUAUUUUCUGUGGGUUUGCCUUAGAGGUUUGUCAAUUGUCUUCAUGACAGCUGAGGGAGAACUUCCCCUAUAACGCAAUUUAUUGCAACAACAAAAAGUAUUUUGCCUCUUUACAAACUUCUCAGGAAUAAACAGAAUUGUUAAUCUAAUCAAAAACUCAUUCCCAUUGAGAUAAUGAACAGUGGAAAUACUUGGGGGAGGAGGAGCAAAUUCUUCCUUUUAAACAAUUGAAUAAGGGUUUGUCAAUAUUAAGCCUAUGAAGCUGGUCACAGCUGAGUUCAAAACAAGCAUUUGUUGAUUAAUAAUGUUUGCUUUCAAGUUAUUAAAUUAAUAAUACAAUGGAUAAUUCCUGCACUAACUUUGUUAUGCCUCUGAUAUUAAUCUUUGCAACAGAUCUCUGUACCAUUAUAAACCAAUUUAAGUAUAGAAUGGAGGCCUCAGAAUAAGAAAAUGUAAGGGGUUUAAGUCAAACAAGUUGAAUGCUAUCUUGGAGCAAUGUAUAGUGACAUAAAACUUAGAAUUCCCUCAGACACAUUGUGCAUUUAUCUGUAACCUUCCUUGAUUCCUGCUCAUUUAAUUUACCUGAUGUUAUCCACAGUCAUCAUCAACUUCAGAAUCCAUGUGGGUAAAAUCUUGGCUCUCUUGCAGUCUCAAAUUUUCUAUGACAACAGAAAUUGAGAACAGUGCAAUUACUGCAGUCAUAUAUAGGAUUACUUCUGUUAAAGUCAAAUGGCAAGAUAAAUUCUCCAGUAUCUUUUGCAUCUAAUGGGGUUUCGCUGUGUUCCAGUGCAGUGUUAAGAAAUGAUAGGUCUCCCAAGGAAGCAGAUCUUGUGCUCUGAGGCCACAGGUAAGUCCUGACUGCUACAGGCAGAUUGCACCACUGUCUUAGCCAGUCUUUGGUUAAACAAAACACUGCAGAACAACAACAACAACCAAAAAAAAAAAAAAAAAAAAGAAAAGAAAAACAAA
This is a long non-coding RNA of Taeniopygia guttata (zebra finch), 4697 nucleotides long. The record is from Ensembl. NCBI's taxonomy places the organism in Eukaryota, Metazoa, Chordata, Aves, Passeriformes, Estrildidae.